Molecule: ribosomal RNA, 794 nt
Filed under: uncultured archaeon
Lineage: Archaea
Description: bacterial SSU rRNA
Rfam family: Archaeal small subunit ribosomal RNA
Source: RNAcentral
CGGGAAUUCGAUUUUCCGGUUGAUCCUGCCGGACCCCACUGCUAUCGGGGUGGGACUUAGGCAUGCAAGUUUUGUGUCUUCAAGUUAUGGUGGAGACACGGCGGACCGCUCAGUAACACGUAGUUAACCUGCCCUCGGGAUGAAGAUAACCCCGGGAAACUGGGGGUAAUAUUUUAUAAGUGAGAAGACCUGGAAUGGUUUCUCGCCUAAAUGGUCUGGAACCAUACUUCCAGUACUGCCCGAGGAUGGGACUGCGGCCGAUCAGGUAGUUGGUGAGGUAAUGGCUCACCAAGCCUAUAACCGGUACGGGCCGUGAGAGCGGGAGCCCGGAGAUGGGCACUGAGACAAGGGCCCAGGCCCUACGGGGCGCAGCAGCUACGAAACCUCCGCAAUGCGCGAAAGCGUGACGGGGCUACCCCGAGUGCCAUCCGCUGAGGGUGGCUUUUCUUUGGUGUAAUGAGCCGAAGGAAUAAGAGGAGGGCAAGCCUGGUGUCAGCCGCCGCGGUAAUACCAGCUCCUCAAGUGGUGGGGAUGAUUAUUUGGCCUAAAGCGUCCGUAGCUUGCUCGGUAAGUCCUCCGUUAAAUCCACCGAUCUAAUCGUUGGGCCGCGGGGGAUACUGCAGAGCUUGGGGGCGGAAGAAGUCGACGGUACUCUUGGGGUAGGGGUGAAAUCCAGUAAUCCCAAGAGGACCACCAGUGGCGAAGGCGGUCGACUAGGACGCGCCCGACAGUGAGGGACGAAAGCUGGGGGAGCGAUUCGGAUUAGAUACCCGAGUAGUCCCAGCCGUAAACGA